Pezoporus occidentalis (night parrot) is the source of this 1974-nucleotide long non-coding RNA. RefSeq lists it as uncharacterized. The transcript is spliced from 3 exons. NCBI's taxonomy places the organism in Eukaryota, Metazoa, Chordata, Aves, Psittaciformes, Psittacidae. The record is from RefSeq and is a predicted model, not a curated record.
UUGUAACUGCGUGAUGUUUUUGGGAAUGUUUUACUGUCCCCUUUAUAGCAAAUGUUACAGCAUGCACAUAUGACAUCAAGUUCCUCUUGUGAGUACUUGAUUUUUAGCGACAUGAACAAGACACAGAUGGACAUGAGAACCCAGCUGUUGACUCUGUCUCUCAGUGCCCUUUUUCUUAUAUCUGUGACCUGAUCACGUAGUACAAAGUGUUUCCUGCUGAACUACAUGCAGCUGCCUGGCUGAAAAGCAUGUGAGAGCUUUAUUUGUCCUGCCUGCAGUCCCAGAUCUUCUUGGAACAGGCUCCCAGAUCCCUCCUGUUGUGGAGGUGGGUGAUAUCACCAGAUAGCCUUCCCAAGGAUCCUGUCCUCUCUGGAAUCCACUGCCAGGGAUCUGCAGGGCAUUACAGCCUGCAUUUCAGCGUGCUGCUCUAAAUAAACUGCCUGAGCUAAGGUCUCGGAUCCCUGGGGCUUCAGAGCAGUGCCACCCCUUUUUGUCAAGGUGAAUAAAUGUUAGUGACACACAGGGAACAUAAACUGAGGCUUGACUUAUUUAUGUCAUUUUUUAAAUGUAUUUCUUUUAACAGAUUUACCCAUCUCCAUGCACCCAGCCUCCUUGGAAUCUGUUACAUUGUCAUGAAAAUUGCUCAGGCCCGUGUUCUCAUUUUUGGCUGAUAUGAAAGACCUGAAGAUCUGUCUUGAUCCAGAUGCUUCUUGAGUCAGCUGCACCGCAGCCCACCCACAGCAAGACCAUCUCUGAGCACAGCAGAAAGUUGCAUCAGCACUGGUCCAGGCCCCAGCACAUGCACAAGAUCUGAAGACUUUACCAAGCUCCCAGCUCCACACUACCUGCCAAGGAGGUGACAGGCAUCACGCACCAGCUGUGAUGGACAUUGUGGGACUGAGUCCCUAUGUGUUUUGUCUGGAGUCAGUUUGAUUCCAAAAAAAUGCCCUCAGAAACAGUAUUUCAAACCCCGGGGAGACUCUUUGUUUUAUUGUUUUAGGAAUGCAUUUUGUAAAUCACUCGGUGGUGGCAAGUUUAUGUAUUUGGAUAGCAAAUUUAUGUUGCACUAUUAGUUUCAAGGAAAUCCGAUCGAGUAUGUGGAUUUUGGACUUUUGACCUUUACACAGAAUGAGCUUUUUGAAGAAGUGUGAAGUAACUUGUUCAUCUCCACGUAGUGUACUCUGCUGAAUGAAAAUGCUCUCUGAAGAGACACAGAGAGGAUGUAAGGGGUGGUGAACACUUCAUCUCAGUCAAUGGUUUCUCCCUUCCCAGCCUGUUGCCAGUGGUUGGGACACUGUGCUAAGCACUGACCUGGUGCAUUUUCAGUUCUGCACUUUGUGUUUUGCAGACACUACCAGGAAGGUGGAAAGGGUUGCCCUACUGCUGGCUCUCAUGGGGAAUAAGGGAGUGACCAUCCCCCACUACAUGGGACUCAGGAUAAUGGUUGCCCAGGUCUUGCUGAAGACAGGAAAGAUGCAUGGAGGAAAGGUAGGCUUUACAUUUUUUGCCUCCCAGCUCAGUAGGUCUGGGAGCAUGGCUGUGCAUUUCCAAGUCCUGUUCCUUGUGUCCUUCCCUGCCAUCCUUCUGCCCUUUCCCCAGACAUCCCUUGCCUCCCUGGUCAGCCCCACACUUCUCCAGUACAUGUGCUAUUUAUUUAGCUUCACUGCCAUCUGAGCUUUCUGCUCUGCUGGUUUGAUUUCUCUCAAACUAUGAAGUCCUUUGACAGAGGCAGACCAUGACAAUGUGUCUCACUCCUCUUCCCUUUUUUUUCCCUGUUUUCUGCCAACGGCCAGGUUUGAACUGACAUUGGCUGGUUGUAGGUCAGGUUCAAAGGCAUCAAGCACUGUUUGAACAUCCCCUUGGGCGAUACGCUCAUAUGAAAAUGAGUAGUCUAGAAAACCUCUGUGACUUCACAGAGUAAUCCACUUUAUGGGUGAGCUCCUAGGGUUGACAGACUUCUCAUUUAAUAUGGGG